Molecule: transfer RNA, 74 nt
Filed under: Parcubacteria group bacterium SW_4_46_8
Lineage: Bacteria
Description: tRNA-Lys
Rfam family: tRNA
About the family: Transfer RNA (tRNA) molecules are approximately 80 nucleotides in length. Their secondary structure includes four short double-helical elements and three loops (D, anti-codon, and T loops).
Source: RNAcentral
GCCCCCAUAGCUUAAUGGUAAAGCAGCGGACUUUUAAUCCGUUGAUUGGGGUUCGACUCCCUGUGGGGGCACAA